Long non-coding RNA from Lagopus muta (rock ptarmigan), 3003 nucleotides. RefSeq lists it as uncharacterized. The record is from RefSeq and is a predicted model, not a curated record. The transcript has 3 exons. NCBI's taxonomy places the organism in Eukaryota, Metazoa, Chordata, Aves, Galliformes, Phasianidae.
CCCAACCACCUCGCGCUGCUGAUGGCCCUGCUCACUGUUCCGUCACACUGGGACCCUGUGCAAGGGGAAAGUCCAGCUGUGUAAGAUGGCUGCUGCUGCCAUGGAGGACGAGUAUUUCUAAUGUGGCUGGUGAAAUUACCUCUUGUAAGGAUCUGUCACAGUUCAGUGCUUUUUCCCCUGAGUUAAAUGAGUAGCGACUGAACCAGGAAAAUGUACCCUGGGGGAGACAAUCUAUGAGCCCUGCUGACUGUGUAGUACAUGAAUCUCAGCACAACAUACCAAAAAAAACAAGCAAUGGUCGUGGAGAGCUCCUUUUCUAAGGCUGAAAGAAGUUGCAUGGUUUAGCUCAUCAAAGUGAAGAGUAACUGAAGAUAUUACUGCUGGCUUGAAGUACACCAGAUUCAGGGAAGGAAGAGGUUGAUACUAAAAGACAAUUUUACCACAGGGAUGACUGCAUGUAAUCAAAGAACGUAAUUCACGUUGAGUAUAAAGUGUAAGUAUGGGGUUCUGGAGGUGUCUCCCUGCAGCAAGCUCACUAAACCAUGUCCCUAAGUACCACGUCUCCAUGUUUCCUGAACACCUCCAGGGAUGGUGACUCCACCACCUCCCUGGGCAGCCUCUUCUAAUGCAUUGCCACCACACAAGGUACUUGGAGCUGCAGUUUCCUCCUGGGCAGUUUAAUUUCCUCAUGGAAAUCUACAAGUGAACCUUGUGACUUAAUUUUCAUAGCUCAACGUUUGUAGGUGUUAACGAGUCAGCUGUGAGGCAGCACUGUGCUGAGCUGUGAAUUGUUCUCUGAGUACACCUCAAAAGGUCGUCACUGAAGAUGGAGCUCUGGAACAUACCAGAUAAUAAUCAUGAUGUGUGCUAUUGUAUUUAAAAUUCCAGCUUACACUGUAGAAUCUUCAAGCAGAAUGAAGCUGUGCUGAGCUGCUGCAGUUGUGCAGACAGCAUCCUGUCAUACCAUCUAGUGGCCUGUUAGCAUACAGCAUGCUGUGGAAGUUAUCCAACUUCAGGAGAAGGCAGUUAUUAUUCAUACCAUAAAUUAUUCUUAAUUUAUGUUUGUCACUUGUGAAACCCAAUAGAAAUGCAUUUACAAUGAAUUUAUUGGAUGAAAGGAAGAUAUCAACAAUGUUGUGGAUGAUUUAAAGUGGAAAGUGUGGGAGAAAGCAGGUAGAACCUAUUCUCUGCUUCAGCCAGAUCAGUAUGGUCAGCCAGACAAACGCUGUGUAAGCAUCAGAAGCUUCUCUGCAUUAGAAUCAUUAAAGCCUAACAUUACUACAAGUGACCUGUAUAUUAUGGCAAAGCACAUCUCUGUAGUGCUAUUUAUAAUUUACUUUUUGAUGAAAUAAGGUAACCCUUCCUCUUUCUCCCACUUUCAUUUUCUGAUAACUGUCUCUGAGAACUAACCUAGUAUGCUGGUUAAAAGUGGUUUUCCACCCCUGGCUGCACUUCCAUCCACAGAAGUUUGCACUGUCACACAUUUGAUUGGGAUGAAAAAGAAACCCAUCAAUGAUUUCAUUUUGUAAUUUAUUUUCUUUUGUUGUACUUAUUUACUUAUACUAAAUAGAUGCACAAAACUGUGCUGUUACAAAGCAAGAUGUAGUUUGCAUUAGGAUGGAGCAGCUGGAGGCAGGAAAUGCCUUUCUUUUAGCUACCUCGUCUUGGAAAUUUCUCCUUAGCCAAAGUGAUUUCUGACCCCCCCAGAAACAACCUGACCUCCACAGAAGACAUCAGAUGUCCACGGCAAAAAAGGUGAUGAUGAUUCCCUUUCAGGACACUGUAUUGAGAACACAAAGAGCAGGAGAAUUGGGCAGAGUAGGACAGGAUUCCUCAGGAGCUUCCAAAUGCACUGUGUUUUUCCGAGCAGGACUGGAGUUCAGCUCAGAUCUACACAGCAGUUUCAAGUUUCCAAGGACUUGUAGCACACUGAGGCUGAGAAGCAAAGCAGCUUUAGAACUUUCCCAUUUAUUUGGUGGAUGAAUAAAUGUAGCAUCUACUCUGCAUCCUGAACACACGCUGCUGUGCUGCUGUGCACCUAGUGCUGCUACCCCAAUAUUUUGCCCAGCCAACCAAAUCUCAAUAGAAGUUUUUGCAUAAUUAAUUAUACAAGCAGAAUGCAUUGCUUUGCUCUAUUUUUUUAAGGUUCCAGAUUUUCCAACUGUUGACAAAGGAUGUGUUAAUGUCAUCAUUAUGAAGUUCUGUUGUUUACUGUUUUCUUCAGCAAGCAGUAAUUUUAUUGACUUUGGCAGAGACAUUGGUGUUUUGCAUGAUUUCAAUGGAUUUUGUGGCACAGACGCACAAUGUAACCCAAGAUGUUCCAUAAUAAACAGGACUGUUACUACCAGAUGGAAAUAGUCCUGAAGCAUUACUGGACUUGAGAAAACAAAAAUGUUUUAGGACAAACAUUUUAGGUCUUAGCUUAAUUGUCUUCAAUCAAUAUCUACUUGUAAAAUAUUUUUGACAGAAAAACAAAGCCAAAGAAAGGAUCUAAACAGUAUUUAUUUCAGAUUUUACUCUUUUAUUAUCUGUGCACAAAUUUAGUUUAUGCUGCUCUUUAAAAGACAUGCUGACACACAAGUUAGUGAGAUAACUACACAAAAUAGUAUGAAUUGGGGAUGAGAUAUUUCUGAUCAGAAAGCAAAGACUCAGAAGAUAUUCUGAGCAGUGAACUUAAAUAUACAUGAACUAAAAGACAGUAGAUAAUGGCUGGCCUUAUUUGUAGAGCUGCUCAAAUUAUUAAGUGUGAAUUUCGAAUUAAUUCUAAAUGUAUCCUGGUAACAAUAGCUUAUGCAAUCAGUGGAUAAUGAGCCCUGACACAUGGCAGGUUUAUAACUCAAAUCUGGGUCGUGGACACGAAGCCACAAAACAAAAAUUAAUCUAUUCAACAGUACAAAUAUUUCUCAUUCUAAAUUGUGAGAAAGGAAGUCUUAUGUGCUUGGGUGGAACGGCUGUACACAAAUACAGAUGGUUCAGCAGGUAUUAUUUGCUUGCCAAGUGGGA